RNAcentral lists this ribosomal RNA (446 nucleotides) under uncultured bacterium. RNAcentral's name for it is "partial 16S ribosomal RNA". It matches the Rfam family "Bacterial small subunit ribosomal RNA", at positions 338 to 795 of the family's 1533-position model. The record is from RNAcentral.
CCUACGGGGUGCUGCAGUCGAGACUCAUUCACAAUGGGGGAAACCCUGAUGGUGCGACUCCGCGUGGGGGAAUGAAGGUCUUCGGAUUGUAAACCCCUGUCAUGUGGGCGCAAAUUAAAAAGAUAGUACCACAAGAGGAAGAGACGGCUAACUCUGUGCCAGCAGCCGCGGUAAUACAGAGGUCUCACGCGGUGUUCGGAAUCACUGGGCGUAAAGCGUGCGUAGGCUGUUUCGUAAGUCGUGUGUGAAAGGCGCGGGCUCAACCAGAGGACGGCACAUGAUACUGCUAGACUAGAGUAAUGGAGGGGGAACCGGAAGUCGUGGUGUAGCAGUGAAAUGCGUAGAUAUCGAGAGGAAAACUCGGGGCGAAGGCGGGUUCCUGGACAUUAACUGACGCUGAGGCACGAAGGCCAGGGGAGCGAAAGGGAUUAGAUACCCGAGUAGUC